This 254-nucleotide ribosomal RNA is filed under the name uncultured bacterium. RNAcentral's name for it is "partial 16S ribosomal RNA". It matches the Rfam family "Bacterial small subunit ribosomal RNA", at positions 524 to 776 of the family's 1533-position model. The record is from RNAcentral.
UACGGGGGGGCAAGCGUUGUUCGGAAUUACUGGGGCGUAAAGGGCUCGUAGGCGGCCAACUAAGUCAGACGUGAAAUCCCUCGGCUUAACCGGGGAACUGCGUCUGAUACUGGAUGGCUUGAGUUUGGGAGAGGGAUGCGGAAUUCCAGGUGUAGCGGUGAAAUGCGUAGAUAUCUGGAGGAACACCGGUGGCGAAGGCGGCGAUCCUGGACCAACACUGACGCUGAGGCGCGAAAGCCAGGGAGGCGAACGGG